Molecule: long non-coding RNA, 1748 nt
Organism: Suricata suricatta (meerkat)
Lineage: Eukaryota; Metazoa; Chordata; Mammalia; Carnivora; Herpestidae
Exons: 6
Source: RefSeq, a predicted model, not a curated record
AACAGUCCUACAGGAUUGUUCUAAUGAACCCUCUACAGGUAUAUACUGUGUCACCCUGGAACAAAGGAGGGACUGUACCAGUGCCUUCCAACAAGCCUGCCUGGACCACACCCGAAGUUGGGGUUAUGACUUCUUGUAAGGAGGAGGAAAGCAUAAAUGGGGAGCAGUGAGGUAUCUAGUAGAAGUGUUAGACUUUGUUAUGGGAUUUGGGUGUAUGUGAUUGUGGGAAGGGUUCAUGAAAGCAAGGCCUCCCACUGUACUGGAUGCUGUCAGGAAGUAGGGGUAAUUCUAUGAUUGGGUGUCUUAAUUCUUAGUAAGAAGGUGUGAAUGUAAGUGGAGAUUAAAGCUGUAAUUGAUAAAGACAUUUUUUUGGUUUAGACAAUGUUUGUGUCCUGUGUUUCGACAAGACUGUGGAGUGGUCUGGUUUUUGUCUUGACCAUGAUCAUAGAAUGGCCUUGUCUGAUGCUAUUCUGUGAAAUUGUUAUUAUUCCACAGAACAUGGUCCAGAUGAGCUCAUAGCAACAUCAAGACACAGAAUAAUGAAGCCAUCAUCUGAAUGUUAUCACUGGCAUUUAGGCGGAGAAAACAGAAUAUGCAGGUGAAAUCGGAUAUAUAUGAAAGGUCCUGGAACAGCACUACAAGCUUCAACGUUGAGUCAGCAGCCACAUGACAAACUGACAUCCUUGGCCUGUCCCAGGUGGCCCAAGAUAAGACAGGAUGGAAGUCAACUCCUGACAAUCAAGAGUUCUUUCUCUGGAAGGGUGGCUGGAGAACGGAGAAAUGGCUGUUCUGAAGGGACGGAGGAGGCAGCGUGACCUGUGGGCCGUGUGGCCCAGCCUCUUUAAAACCAGGCUCGCACAACAGCGGAGACGCGAAGAACAUACAACCCUCUAGUUCCGAAUGCACUGCGGGGCUCUGGUCUCAGCUCCACUGUGUAAAGAACUUACAAGUCAGCACUCUCACCUCAGAGCAAAAAGAGCUGAACAAGCUGAAAAUCAAUAUGUUCUCCUGAACCCAUCAGAGACUGAGGUCCCAGGGCAGACCUGCUUCCCAUGAUCUCAGCCAAUAUGUCCUUACCUGUUCAGAAGAUGCUAGAGCCACAUGCUGGAGUCCUAUAUGUACCUACGAAAAAAAUCACAUUGAGCCGAAUACGUGACCUACCUAACAGGCACAGGAAACUCUCAAAGAUGUGGAAGAAAACCUUUCCAGAACUGGGGAGAAAGUGGCAGAAUUCCACUCUCAGAUCCAUCUCCUGGCUUCUGUCGCCCCACAGUGGAGACCCAGCAGAGCUGUGUGCAUCUUCCCUACCCUCUCUGGGAGGGUUAUCUGCAAGAAAGACUCAAGCAUCCUGCCGAGUUUGGUACUAAGUCCAAUGAAUGACCACAGGGAGCCUUGACAUGAGUUCUGAGGUAGCUCUGAAGCCAACACUCUGGAACUCUCACCAGGCAAGACCAGGCUGCCUGGACCCACUAUGAUUUUCUUGGGUUUUCAUCAAGGUUCAAGGCAGUGGGGGUAUAGGAGGGUUCUAGAAGGCCACUGGGGAGGCAUCUUAUGGGAGCCAACGCAGAUUUGGGCUGAAUUGGGACUUACAGUAUGAAAUCAGUUUAAAAACUUAAAGAGAAUCUACAGAGACUAAAUUGCCCUCUCUCUAGGAUUUCCUAAAGCAACUCCACUCCUGUUUUGGGCUUCAAAGUCCAAACUAGAUUUAUCCUGGGGCGCCUGGGUGGCUCAGUAGGUUGAGUAUCCGA